AAAGCCCCCAGUGGCACUGGAUAAUUAUUCCUGCAUCACUGAGAGAUGCAGAGUGACUCUUGGCUGGGGCUGAUGGAGGGGCAUCGUUUGCGUCUUCUACCUAAAGCCUGAAAAUUGCCUCUCUGGACACAUCUAAGGGUGGAGCAGCAGGAACGGGUGCGGAAGAGCUGAACCAUUCAAAUGGCCUGUUUGCAAAAUGAUGAUAGGGUCCUGCAACAGCUUGAAAAUACAGCCGGCAGAGAAGGGUCGGUCAUGCGGCAGCACAAACAGCAACAGUAAUUGGCAGCCGUCCAUGGACAGAAGUGCAUUUGUGGGCGCUUCAAGAUCCAGGCAGGAGCUUGCAAAACCUCGGUGGAGGCCACGACUGAGGAGGACCAAUUUGAGAAAGCUGGCCUGUGCUCAGGUGGCAGGCUUGCCAACUUUGGUCCUGGCUGCAGACAAUAGCCCAUCCCCUCGCAGACUCAGCUAUAGUUCUGUUUGGCUUUGGUCCUGCUACCGGCACUAUCUGCCAAGCGACCCAGGGGGAGUCACACCUGCUUGUGUCCCAGGGUAUAUUCACAAAUACCAGGCUUGCCUGACUUUUGAACAAAACCCAGUCUCAGCAAUGACACAACUUAAUCUGAAGAAGAGCACAUCACCAUGGCCCAGAGCUCCUCAACAACAUCUCUGCUGCAGCCCUGCCUCAGAAAGCCUGUUUUCCUGCAGCCUGUCUGGACUCUGAAUUCACGACCCAUAUGGGUGGACCUUUCCCUAAGAGUGGUCUGAGGGGCACGAUCCCAAAUCCGUGUCUCACAAGCACCUACACCGCACUGUUUGGAGGACCCUGUUUUCUAUCUCCAGUGGGAGUGCCUUAAGCUCAUGGACAACUGAUUAACUAGCCCAGUGCCUGGAACACAGCAGAGUCUUAACACAGCUGUGAAAAUGAACUGAACGAAUGGUGGAAGUUGAAGUCAUCCUCCUUCCAAAUCGACAGACGCCAGAGAAAUGCUCGGCACACACCAACAACGUGUGGCUUCUCUGCUGACGGUCCUCCUGGGCCGGGCCUUCCCCUUCAGGAUAGCCUGUCCCAUCAAUCACUUCUAGAUCCUUUCUAGAAAGUCUCCCCAUUCCUCUUGGUAUUCCUCUGGAUCAAGGCCCUCCCUUCGGCGAGUGAAAGCUUAUUUUGAAACAAAACACAUACAGCUUCUAAAAAUGUGUGUUUUCAGUGAAAAACAGUUGGUCCUGUUUUCCACUGUGGCCAAGAUGGUGCCAUCAUUUAAGGGAUAAGUGGCAAUUAUCUUUUACUUAGGCUUUUACUGCCAAUCUCAUCAGGAGAAUGUUUCAUGCAAGUAAGAAACACUUAAAUAAGUAAAAAUAAAAUUAAAGCCACAGAGAGGUCAGAUACAGCAAUGAUUAAGUGGUUAUAAAGCUUCACAGCUCAUUUUUCAAAAAAGUCUUAGAAAAUGUAACAACUGCCCAUAAAGUUUUGAUCAAUGAUGUACAUGACUUGAGAUUCUACCGGAGUUAUUGGUAUUAUGGGAAAUUUGAGGAGGAAAUGUGAUUUUUCUACCCUAGAAGUAUAAGCAGGUAGCAUAGGGGGUCUCCAGAGAAAGAGAACCAGGCAUGGCUUUCUUGACAUAACAGAAGCCAUUUUGGUCUAAGCCAUUUUGGGAUCUAAGCCUGGCCACAAUGCUUGUCCUUGAAUAGGUCUUAGUAAUGAAUGAUCUAAGGGAAAAAAAGAAUGCAGAACAGAGAAAAGGCAGUCAAACAAUAGUACAGUGCUAAAGCAAAGUCCUAUUUCCUCCUCAGAGGAUAUACAUAAUAACAUAUCUUUGAGUUCUACAGGAACUAAAUAAGGUCCCACCCAGGUGGAGGACAGAAGGAUGAUGUUGACGCCCCAGACUUCAAUUAACUAAAGGUUGGACUCUGUCGACUUUGCUCCCAAUUCUAUGCUGAAUUAUCCUCUGAAAAAGCCCCUUCAUGAAUAUGCAUAUACUCUUAGCUUAAAACUUCCCCAGUUUUGCUGUUGGGGAGACACCAUUUGGGGAAAGAUCCCCGGUGUUAUCCUUACUUGCUGCAAUUAAUAAUAAAUCCUUCCUUCCCCUGCACUUUGGCUAGGUUGUGUCUUUUGGCUUGAUAUCCACCAGGAGGCGAACCCAGUUUUUGGGUAAUAGAAGGUAAAACCAACUUUCAUUUACUUCCCUCAAUUACCCAUGCCAUGAAAAUUAUCUCAAGUUUGCCUAAAAUUUGGUUCACUAUUGUUGAAGAUAUCCUGUGUAAGGAAUGUAUUUUGGGAACAGUCUGUGAAAUACUCCCUUGUAAACUAUUGGUGAAAGAUUUUAAAUGGUGCUGGG
This is a long non-coding RNA of Camelus dromedarius (Arabian camel), 2333 nucleotides long. RefSeq lists it as uncharacterized. The transcript has 4 exons. The record is from RefSeq and is a predicted model, not a curated record. NCBI's taxonomy places the organism in Eukaryota, Metazoa, Chordata, Mammalia, Artiodactyla, Camelidae.